Molecule: ribosomal RNA, 465 nt
Filed under: Vreelandella stevensii
Lineage: Bacteria; Pseudomonadati; Pseudomonadota; Gammaproteobacteria; Oceanospirillales; Halomonadaceae
Description: partial 16S ribosomal RNA
Rfam family: Bacterial small subunit ribosomal RNA
Source: RNAcentral
CCUACGGGGGGCAGCAGUGGGGAAUAUUGGACAAUGGGCGAAAGCCUGAUCCAGCCAUGCCGCGUGUGUGAAGAAGGCCUUCGGGUUGUAAAGCACUUUCAGUGGGGAAGAAAGCCUUGGGGCUAAUACCCUCGAGGAAGGACAUCACCCACAGAAGAAGCACCGGCUAACUCCGUGCCAGCAGCCGCGGUAAUACGGAGGGUGCGAGCGUUAAUCGGAAUUACAGGGCGUAAAGCGCGCGUAGGCGGUCUGAUAAGCCGGUUGUGAAAGCCCCGGGCUCAACCUGGGAACGGCAUCCGGAACUGUCAGGCUAGAGUGCAGGAGAGGAAGGUAGAAUUCCCGGUGUAGCGGUGAAAUGCGUAGAGAUCGGGAGGAAUACCAGUGGCGAAGGCGGCCUUCUGGACUGACACUGACGCUGAGGUGCGAAAGCGUGGGUAGCAAACAGGAUUAGAUACCCCAGUAGUC